This 627-nucleotide ribosomal RNA is filed under the name Triticum aestivum (bread wheat). RNAcentral's name for it is "partial small subunit ribosomal RNA". Lineage: Eukaryota; Viridiplantae; Streptophyta; Magnoliopsida; Poales; Poaceae. The record is from RNAcentral.
AUGCACCAUCUUGUCGUGGUCGACGCCGUCACAGCGCCCAUCACCACAUCGUCCUGCCGCACGCAGCAGCCACCUCUUGACGUGGACGGCGCCUUCGCAACGCCGAUCACCACGCCAUCAUCACCUCGCGGCAUCGCACCGAAACCGGCCAUCAGCGGUAUCGCACCGCUGGCAGCCAUCACCUCGCACCGACGUCCUCCACCUCACAUGGAGUCCACCGCGUCACCGCCGUCGCAGCCGUUGCCUCCGCCCAGCACCACGGCGGCCACCAUAGCCGCCGGCACCGUCGUCGCCGCCACGAAUCAACCUGGCUCUGAUGCCAAUUGUUGGCGCCAUCUCUCCUUGCAGCGCCGCUCCUUCUUCUACCUCGAGUUGCCUCUCACAACUCUCUUCUCCCUCUCACACAAUUCUCUUGUGUUUUCUCUCAAGAACUCUCUCAUGAACACACACACACGCACGCAUAUACCAAGGAAGAGGAACGGCUUUGCCAGAGACACUCCCUUGGUGAACCACAAUGGCUACAUGGUUUCUCUGCUCAGCCCUCUCGGCCUCACUUCAUUACUCAGUAUGCAACAUGUAUAUAUACAUCAGGUGCUGGACUCACGCACGCACUACCAGCCACCUUAA